UGGGGAAUCUUCCGCAAUGGACGAAAGUCUGACGGAGCAACGCCGCGUGAGUGAUGACGGCCUUCGGGUUGUAAAGCUCUGUUAAUCGGGACGAAUGGUUCUUGUGCAAAUAGUGCGAGGAUUUGACGGUACCGGAAUAGAAAGCCACGGCUAACUACGUGCCAGCAGCCGCGGUAAUACGUAGGUGGCAAGCGUUGUCCGGAAUUAUUGGGCGUAAAGCGCGCGCAGGCGGAUUGGUCAGUCUGUCUUAAAAGUUCGGGGCUUAACCCCGUGAUGGGAUGGAAACUGCCAAUCUAGAGUAUCGGAGAGGAAAGUGGAAUUCCUAGUGUAGCGGUGAAAUGCGUAGAUAUUAGGAAGAACACCAGUGGCGAAGGCGACUUUCUGGACGAAAACUGACGCUGAGGCGCGAAAGCCAGGGGAGCGAACGGGAUUAGAUACCCCGGUAGUCCUGGCCGUAAACGAUGGGUACUAGGUGUAGGAGGUAUCGACCCCUUCCGUGCCGGAGUUAACGCAAUAAGUACCCCGCCUGGGGAGUACGACCGCAAGGUUG
Molecule: ribosomal RNA, 550 nt
Filed under: uncultured bacterium
Lineage: Bacteria
Description: bacterial SSU rRNA
Rfam family: Bacterial small subunit ribosomal RNA
Source: RNAcentral